GAGGGGGCAUUCUAGGCAUUCUAACAGAGAUGACUUUGAGGCCACUUUAACUUCUGGACUGGAAUCAGAUGAUUGAUAUUUUCCUGGCUGCCAGCUCCUGCUUCAUCCUCAAUGGCCAGACUCAUGCCCUUACUGAGAAAAUCUACUAGAAGGAAAGAUCUCCAUGCACAGGCAAAGCACAUGUGGUAUUAGCAAGUUUGGCACCUUUAUGGAAGAGGCAUCAUCAGUUUCAUCAGAAUCAGGGCUUUGAAUCAUGAUUUCAAUCACAAGAUUUUGUCGGGAAAUGGGAGCAGCCUUCCUAGAAACUCUGACCUUGCAGAGGCCUUCUGGAAGCACGUGAUGAAACCUCAGGCAGCUUGUUCUUUUGACAAGAGAAAAAGAAAGCCCAUUGUCAAAACAAUUUGCCAAGCUUGAACAUUUGUGAGCACGAAUGAGUCAUAAAUAAUUGUACAUUUUUUUAAUAUUAUUUCUGUGAAGGAAAUACAUUUUCAAUGCAAUAAAAAUCCAUUACAGGCAC
This 517-nucleotide long non-coding RNA is filed under the name Equus caballus (horse). RNAcentral describes it as "lncRNA (ENSECAG00000045653.1)". The record is from RNAcentral. Lineage: Eukaryota; Metazoa; Chordata; Mammalia; Perissodactyla; Equidae.